ACACAUGCAGUCGAGCGGGGUGAUGUAGCUUGCUACAUUACCUAGCGGCGGACGGGUAAGUAAUGCUUAGGAAUCUGCCUAUUAGUGGGGGACAACAUUCCGAAAGGGAUGCUAAUACCGCAUACGUCCUACGGGAGAAAGCAGGGGACCUUCGGGCCUUGCGCUAAUAGAUGAGCCUAAGUCGGAUUAGCUAGUUGGUGGGGUAAAGGCCUACCAAGGCGACGAUCUGUAGCGGGUCUGAGAGGAUGAUCCGCCACACUGGGACUGAGACACGGCCCAGACUCCUACGGGAGGCAGCAGUGGGGAAUAUUGGACAAUGGGGGGAACCCUGAUCCAGCCAUGCCGCGUGUGUGAAGAAGGCCUUAUGGUUGUAAAGCACUUUAAGCGAGGAGGAGGCUACCUAGAUUAAUACUCUAGGAUAGUGGACGUUACUCGCAGAAUAAGCACCGGCUAACUCUGUGCCAGCAGCCGCGGUAAUACAGAGGGUGCGAGCGUUAAUCGGAUUUACUGGGCGUAAAGCGUGCGUAGGUGGCUAAUUAAGUCAAAUGUGAAAUCCCCGAGCUUAACUUGGGAAUUGCAUUCGAUACUGGUUAGCUAGAGUAUGGGAGAGGAUGGUAGAAUUCCAGGUGUAGCGGUGAAAUGCGUAGAGAUCUGGAGGAAUACCGAUGGCGAAGGCAGCCAUCUGGCCUAAUACUGACACUGACGUACGAAAGCAUGGGGAGCAAACAGGAUUAGAUACCCUGGUAGUCCAUGCCGUAAACGAUGUCUACUAGCCGUUGGGGUCUUUGAGACUUUAGUGGCGCAGCUAACGCGAUAAGUAGACCGCCUGGGGAGUACGGUCGCAAGACUAAAACUCAAUGAAUUUGACGGGGGCCCGCACA
Molecule: ribosomal RNA, 881 nt
Filed under: uncultured bacterium
Lineage: Bacteria
Description: bacterial SSU rRNA
Rfam family: Bacterial small subunit ribosomal RNA
Source: RNAcentral